This 1155-nucleotide long non-coding RNA is filed under the name Olea europaea subsp. europaea. The record is from RNAcentral. Lineage: Eukaryota; Viridiplantae; Streptophyta; Magnoliopsida; Lamiales; Oleaceae.
CUGAUUGUCCCUUUUGUCAAUGUUGGAAAUACACUCAGUUUUGAUGCCUUCUUCAUUGUUUUUAGCACUUGAAACUUGAAAGUGAUAAAAAAGCCCUUAACAUGAUAGGACUACAAUGGGCAAUAGCAGCAGUGGCGAAUCCAAUAACAUUCUAACUUCUAAGCUAAAUGCCUAAAUCACAUAUAUGUAUUUUGAAAUAAAGCCCCAUAAUUUUAUGAGUUGUUAUUUAAAUGGAAAGCAAUUAAUUCCCACAUGAAAGUAGGAAUCCUUUCGGCUUUCGGAAUAAAGCACAGAAAUCACCAGCGAAUUAUCCUAAAUUACAACUUAUUCGUAGAUCCCUCCAUCCCGUAAUAGCCUCUAACAGAUGGUGUUUAUGCUCUAAUAGUGUAGUUCCUGAUUUUUGAAGUAACGACUAAUAAAUAAGUGAUUCAACUUUAAGAUGAGAAAUUGAGAAUUGCUCUCCCUUCUCCGAUUCAGACAUCCAGUUCAAAACUCAAAACCCAUAUCCUCAAAUUUACAAAUUAAUAUCAUUGUAUCAAGUUAGACAUUAAAUUUAGGACCGAAUACUGACACUGUGCCGAGAAGGAAUUGGGGAACUGGGGAAGAACAGGAACUCACAAGUCACAAUUCACAAAGGGUUUGCUAAUUGCUUAACCUCAAAACCGGUAGUUUGACACGAGAAGGAAAGCUUUCUGGCUGCGGUGCGGAGACUGAGUGCAGGCUGCCUGCUGGACGCUUGGACUAGAGUGCUGCUCGACGCUCGCCUGCUCCUUUCGACUCUCACUGUGGCAGUAUCGUCUGCUGGCUGCUGCAACCUAAGAGCGUCUGCCCUUUGCGAUAGUGGAGGUAGUUGCCAGACGGGUAAAGGUAGACGGGUGCGUGCAGGCAUGCGUGGUGCCGAUUUAGGGAAAAAUCUGGGGCUCUAUCUCUGAGUCGCUGGGUUGAACUUGUUGGGUAUAUCAAUAUGGAGAAAGCUCAUUUGGGCUUCUGUAAUUGGGCCUGAUUUAAAAAAAAUAGAGGCCCAACACCCAACUGACCCAAGCCAACAGCCAAAGCAACUGAACGACGGUAGAUGGACCAAAUCUGAAAAUAAACCAACCACUCCUUCCCGGCGGUGGCGGUUCCAGCGAAGCCAGCUAGGGCAGCCGCCCUAGC